This 838-nucleotide ribosomal RNA is filed under the name uncultured Sphingobacteriales cum 'Crenotrichaceae' bacterium. Its description in RNAcentral is "bacterial SSU rRNA". It matches the Rfam family "Bacterial small subunit ribosomal RNA", at positions 70 to 902 of the family's 1533-position model. The record is from RNAcentral. Lineage: Bacteria; Pseudomonadati; Bacteroidota; Sphingobacteriia; Sphingobacteriales.
CAGCAGGACUGUAGCAAUACAGUUGCUGGCGACCGGCAAACGGGUGCGGAACACGUACACAACCUUCCUUUAAGUGGAGAAUAGCCCGGGGAAACCCGGAUUAAUACUCCGUAACAUAAUGAAGUGGCAUCACUUUAUUAUUAUAGCUCCGGCGCUUGAAGAUGGGUGUGCGACUGAUUAGGCAGUUGGCGGGGUAACGGCCCACCAAACCUACGAUCAGUAACUGGUGUGAGAGCACGACCAGUCACACGGGCACUGAGACACGGGCCCGACUCCUACGGGAGGCAGCAGUAAGGAAUAUUGGUCAAUGGACGCAAGUCUGAACCAGCCAUGCCGCGUGGAGGAUGAAGGUCCUCUGGAUUGUAAACUUCUUUUAUCUGGGAAGAAACCCAUGAAUUCUUUUGUGGUUGACGGUACCAGAUGAAUAAGCACCGGCUAACUCCGUGCCAGCAGCCGCGGUAAUACGGAGGGUGCAAGCGUUAUCCUGAUUCACUGGGUUUAAAGGGUGCGUAGGUGGGUUGGUAAGUCAGUGGUGAAAUCUCCAGGCUUAACUUGGAAACUGCCAUUGAUACUAUCAAUCUUGAAUACCGUGGAGGUCAGCGGAAUAUGUCAUGUAGCGGUGAAAUGCUUAGAUAUGACAUAGAACACCAAUUGCGAAGGCAGCUGGCUACACGAAUAUUGACACUGAUGCACGAAAGCGUGGGGAUCAAACAGGAUUAGAUACCCUGGUAGUCCACGCCCUAAACGAUGGAUACUCGACAUACGCGAUAUACUGUGUGUGUCUGAGCGAAAGCAUUAAGUAUCCCACCUGGGAAGUACGAUCGCAAGAUUGAAACUC